This 483-nucleotide ribosomal RNA is filed under the name uncultured bacterium. Its description in RNAcentral is "partial 16S ribosomal RNA". It matches the Rfam family "Bacterial small subunit ribosomal RNA", at positions 30 to 507 of the family's 1533-position model. The record is from RNAcentral.
UUGAACGCUGGCGGCAGGCCUAACCCAUGCAAGUCGAGCGGAUGAAGGGAGCUUGCUCCUGGAUUCAGCGGCGGACGGGUGAGUAAUGCCUAGGAAUCUGCCUGGUAGUGGGGGAUAACGUCCGGAAACGGGCGCUAAUACCGCAUACGUCCUGAGGGAGAAAGUGGGGGAUCUUCGGACCUCACGCUAUCAGAUGAGCCUAGGUCGGAUGAGCUAGUUGGUGGGGUAAAGGCCUACCAAGGCGACGAUCCGUAACUGGUCUGAGAGGAUGAUCAGUCACACUGGAACUGAGACACGGUCCAGACUCCUACGGGAGGCAGCAGUGGGGAAUAUUGGACAAUGGGCGAAAGCCUGAUCCAGCCAUGCCGCGUGUGUGAAGAAGGUCUUCGGAUUGUAAAGCACUUUAAGUUGGGAGGAAGGGCAGUAAGUUAAUACCUUGCUGUUUUGACGUUACCAACAGAAGAAGCACCGGCUAACUUCGUG